RNAcentral lists this ribosomal RNA (497 nucleotides) under uncultured bacterium. Its description in RNAcentral is "partial 16S ribosomal RNA". It matches the Rfam family "Bacterial small subunit ribosomal RNA", at positions 28 to 507 of the family's 1533-position model. The record is from RNAcentral.
GAUGAACGCUGGCGGCGUGCCUAAUACAUGCGAGUCGAGCGAACGGACGAGAAGCUUGCUUUUCUGAUGUUAGCGGCGGACGGGUGAGUAACACGUGGAUAACCUACCUAUAAGACUGGGAUAACUUCGGGAAACCGGAGCUAAUACCGGAUAAUAUUUUGAACCGCAUGGUUCAAAAGUAAAAGACGGUCUUGCUGUCACUUAUAGAUGGAUCCGCGCUGCAUUAGCUAGUUGGUAAGGUAACGGCUUACCAAGGCAACGAUGCAUAGCCGACCUGAGAGGGUGAUCGGCCACACUGGAACUGAGACACGGUCCAGACUCCUACGGGAGGCAGCAGUAGGGAAUCUUCCGCAAUGGGCGAAAGCCUGACGGAGCAACGCCGCGUGAGUGAUGAAGGUCUUCGGAUCGUAAAACUCUGUUAUUAGGGAAGAACAUAUGUGUAAGUAACUGUGCACAUCUUGACGGUACCUAAUCAGAAAGCCACGGCUAACUACGUG